RNAcentral lists this unclassified non-coding RNA (2360 nucleotides) under Hevea brasiliensis (rubber tree). The record is from RNAcentral. Lineage: Eukaryota; Viridiplantae; Streptophyta; Magnoliopsida; Malpighiales; Euphorbiaceae.
UUCCUUCAUCAGUGUAAAUUUGCAACUUCUCUCCGAACAACCCAACCUUAAUCAAAUGAUCAGAAUAAUCUCACUUAUCUGUGGAGUCCAUCAAUAAAAUGUUGAAGUUAUGCGAUGGCCUUCACUUCAAGCACGUAUAUAUGUCUCAAGAAAUAACUUCUUCUCAAAUGAGGGGUCGGGUCGGGUCGGGUCUGAUUAACUUGACUUGGGCUGGAGGCAAAAGCUUGGAGUAGCAUACAAGCCCAAACCGCCAUUGCAUCGGGCACUUUUCUAUUCCUUUUUCUCUUUAGCUCCCUCCAUUGAAACACUAAAACGAAGCUCUCUCCUCUAAUCUUUGCAGCUCAAUCUCAAUGUCGAUAUUCGAGUACAAUGGGAGUGCCCUAAUAGCGAUGGUAGGGAAGAAUUGCUUCGCUAUAGCGAGUGAUCGGCGACUCGGUGUCCAGCUCCAAACUAUUGCCACCGAUUUCCAGCGAAUCUACAAAUUCCACGAUAGGCUCUUCAUGGGUCUCUCUGGCCUAGCUACUGACGCUCAAACUCUGUAUCAGAGGCUUGUUUUCCGUCACAAAUUGUAUCAGCUGCGAGAAGAGAGGGACAUGAAGCCUGAGACAUUUGCUAGCCUUGUCUCUGCUCUCCUUUAUGAGAAAAGGUUUGGUCCAUACUUCUGCCAACCUGUAAUUGCUGGAUUGAGUGAUGAGAACAAGCCUUUCAUUUGCACAAUGGAUUCAAUUGGUGCCAAGUAUGUUAUUUCUUCUCUCUAUCAUUAUUUCAAGCUUAAGUCUCCGCAUGCUGGGUUGUUUUAGGAACUUGAAUGUGCUAGUGUCCACAUGAAGGAUGCAUCAUUUUUCUGUUAUUAUUAGAUUGAAAAAAAAAAAAGCAGAAGAGUGCAACUUAUUUUUUCCUUGCAUUGCUCAAUUUGAUUUCCAAACUUCAUAAAAAAAAUUUUAAAGGACAUGUUGUAUUUAGCCAGAUAAUCAUUAUUUUCUGAUAUAUUCCCUUAUCUCCCCAGAUUCUUGUGGUAUAUUGGAAUUUGAUCAAAAGCUGAAACUUUAACAGGAAAGCCCAUUUAUAUUUUAUUGUGACUUUAUUGGAUUCAUUCACUUUUGGUGGUAGAAGUUAUAUUAAUUUCAAUGAAGUCCGCUUAUUGCCUGUUCAUAUCUUAUCGGCAUUACUGGUCGUGUUGUUUCCACAUGUAAGUAGCAUGUGGGACCUUACUGUACAAAUCAAACUGCAAUCUGGCUAGAAUUUUAAACAAUUUUCAUCAGAUUUUGUUUGCUGUGCCUACUUACACAUGCAAGAUUCUUUUCUUUUUUACUGUUUUCCCUCUUUAUCAAAUACAGGGAACUUGCAAAGGAUUUUGUUGUUGCUGGAACAGCAUCAGAGUCGCUUUAUGGUGCUUGUGAAGCUGUGUUCAAGCCUGACAUGGAACCUGAAGAAUUAUUUGAAACUGUGUCUCAAGCGUUGCUAUCAUCAGUAGAUCGGGACUGUUUGAGUGGUUGGGGUGGACAUAUCUAUGUUGUGUAAGCCUUCAUAUGCAUCUCUUAUUUUUCUGUUUGUACUAUAGUUCAUAGAAAUAUUUUUCCUGCGAAAUCACGCAAUGGCCUUAAGAAGUCUUGAUUCAUUCUCAACACCACCUUAUAGUUUUCUGUUCUCAGUUAUUGAUCAAAUUAACAUCUUCCUUCUCUUUUCUCUCUGUUUGCAAAAAAUCUAGUUAUAGAAAGGAUCUAAUGCUGAUCUCAUAAAGUUUAGUUUGUUGUUGAGUAUUGUUAAUUAUCCUUUUGGAGAGUUAGUGCAUUGGAUUUUGGAACAUUUUGAAUGAAGCCAUUUGCCUUCAGUUUAAAGGAUGUAGAAUGUCUGUCCUGUGCUCCAAACAUAAAAUAUGGGGUUAAUCUACUAAUAUUUGUGAUGCUAAGCUGUGCCUUUAUGUUUGUUUGAAUUUGAAUAAAAUCUUUUGUAAGAUUGUGGCUACAUUAUUGCCCGUUCCAUGAACAGUUAAGUUUUCAAUUUAUUCCUAAGCCAUAUCCAACAAUUGGAUUGUAGUGUUUUUGAAUUUUAAUUUCCUUGAUCUUUAAUUGGAAUUUUCUUCAUCUUCAGAGUGAAUUUCGAAUCUUCUGAAGAUCAAAUUUGUUGUUGUGAUUUUAUUUUUACUGCUCUUUAUCAUAAAUGCAGCAUUACAUAAUAUUAAGUUAACCAGAGAAUUAAAAAGUAGUUAUAAGUUUGUAUGAAUGUCUUAUCCUAUCAACUUUGGUGAUCGGAUUGUUUUUAAAACAAGUGAUAGUUAAUAAUUCCAUAUGUUGCCCAAAUGCAUGCAAGAGGAGUUUGAUUGUCAGAGCUGUUUUCCAAACCUCUUUUUUUUUUUUCUU